AGGGAUGUAGCUCAGAGGUAGAGCACUUGCCUAGCAUAUGGGAAACUGGGUUCGAUCCCCAGCACCACAA
RNAcentral lists this transfer RNA (70 nucleotides) under Heterocephalus glaber (naked mole-rat). It matches the Rfam family "tRNA". From Rfam's summary of the family: Transfer RNA (tRNA) molecules are approximately 80 nucleotides in length. Their secondary structure includes four short double-helical elements and three loops (D, anti-codon, and T loops). Further hydrogen bonds mediate the characteristic L-shaped molecular structure. tRNAs have two regions of fundamental functional importance: the anti-codon, which is responsible for specific mRNA codon recognition, and the 3' end, to which the tRNAs corresponding amino acid is attached (by aminoacyl-tRNA synthetases). tRNAs cope with the degeneracy of the genetic code in two manners: having more than one tRNA (with a specific anti-codon) for a particular amino acid; and 'wobble' base-pairing, i.e. permitting non-standard base-pairing at the 3rd anti-codon position. Lineage: Eukaryota; Metazoa; Chordata; Mammalia; Rodentia; Bathyergidae. The record is from Rfam by way of RNAcentral.